UCCUGAGUGGAUCCUGAGUACGGCGGAACACGUGAAAUUCCGUCGGAAUCCGGGAGGACCAUCUCCCAAGGCUAAAUACUCCCUAGUGACCGAUAGUGAACCAGUACCGUGAGGGAAAGGUGAAAAGCACCCCGGAAGGGGAGUGAAAGAGAUCCUGAAACCGUGUGCCUACAAGUAGUCAGAGCCCGUUAACGGGUGAUGGCGUGCCUUUUGUAGAAUGAACCGGCGAGUUACGAUCCCGUGCAAGGUUAAGUUUGAAAAGACGGAGCCGCAGCGAAAGCGAGUCUGAAUAGGGCGCAUGAGUACGUGGUCGUAGACCCGAAACCAGGUGAUCUACCCAUGUCCAGGGUGAAGUUCAGGUAACACUGAAUGGAGGCCCGAACCCACGCACGUUGAAAAGUGCGGGGAUGAGGUGUGGGUAGGGGUGAAAUGCCAAUCGAACCUGGAGAUAGCUGGUUCUCUCCGAAAUAGCUUUAGGGCUAGCCUCAAGGUAAGAGUCUUGGAGGUAGAGCACUGAUUGGACUAGGGGCCCCUACCGGGUUACCGAAUUCAGUCAAACUCCGAAUGCCAAAGACUUAUCCUUGGGAGUCAGACUGCGAGUGAUAAGAUCCGUAGUCGAAAGGGAAACAGCCCAGACCACCAGCUAAGGUCCCACAGUAUACGUUAAGCGGAAAAGGAGGUGGAGGUGCUUAGACAACCAGGAGGUGGGCUGAGAAGCAGCCGCCAUGGA
This 730-nucleotide ribosomal RNA is filed under the name Salmonella enterica subsp. enterica serovar Derby. RNAcentral's name for it is "partial 23S ribosomal RNA". It matches the Rfam family "Bacterial large subunit ribosomal RNA", at positions 395 to 1125 of the family's 2925-position model. Lineage: Bacteria; Pseudomonadati; Pseudomonadota; Gammaproteobacteria; Enterobacterales; Enterobacteriaceae. The record is from RNAcentral.